RNAcentral lists this long non-coding RNA (2762 nucleotides) under Ornithorhynchus anatinus (platypus). RNAcentral's name for it is "lncRNA (ENSOANG00000038217.1)". Lineage: Eukaryota; Metazoa; Chordata; Mammalia; Monotremata; Ornithorhynchidae. The record is from RNAcentral.
CAAAGUUCCCACCUGAGUGGUAAUGUUUUGACUUCCACCUGGGAAACUAGGCAGAUUGACUCCCAUGAGGAAGAAGUGCUUGUCCUAUCCAGAAGUGGAGCCUUAGCUCCUGCCUUAGAAAAACAGCUGGAAGAAGUGAUAUCAGAAAAGCAAGGGAAAUAUUGCAGUUUUCCAAGAUCGUGUGCUCAGUUACAUCUGGUCGUCUCCGUCUUUUCAACUAAAGCCUGGCCUUCAGUCUUCAUUCUCCUCAGAUUCUGCAAAGAAACCUAUUUGACUCAUUAUCCCUCAGUGAAAAUAGAAUAUGCGGGCAUUUCCAGUCUUCAUCCCCCAUCAAAUAUCCUGGAUUUAAAAGAGAGAGCCCAUUUCAGGGUGGGUCUCACGCCUCAAUAUUAAUCACAAAAAUCUGCCCCUGACUAAAUGAACUUGUAUUUUUGAUGUGUGGGGUCAGAAGUUACAACUGAUUCUGCAUAUAUAUCUUUAUCUCUUGCCCUUGAGUAUAAAGCUCCUUGAGAAUAGGGAUGGUGUGUAAUAUGUGUUUUUUCAGUAGCAAAUACAGCAAGCAACAUCAAAAAUAGUCGUGUUGAAACAACAUAAUUCUCUGCUUCAUUCUUUUCUAAAAGCCGUAUGAGCCUCAGGAAAAUAAGGAAGAGGCAACACCUUACAUAAUAUCAUGCUGCAAAUAGCUCUCAGUAAAAUGUACAGUCCUUGUGUAUUAUUAAAUGAGAACAAUGUCACACUCUGAGAGUCUUUACCUCCCCAGCCCUGAAAGACUUGAAAUUUUUCAGUAUUGUGUUUCAAUUUCAAAAUUUUUACAGCUUUUUCUCUGGUCCCCUGGAAUAAUCUGAGCAUGUUAUUUUGUUUGAAAUCUUAGUUUGGUACGUUGACUGGGGGCGGUGUCUAUAAACUAUGAUCAUUGUAGGUCUAGGUUUGCUUGGCAAUAAAAUUACAGGGCAGCUGCCCUGCAAGGUUAAAAAAAAAAAAGACUGCUAGGUUCAGUAAAGCAUUUCUCUGUGAUGCUAACCUUAAUUACUACAAAAUCAGGACUAAUAGCAAUUCAAGCGACAGAAACUCAAGCACCAUUGCAACAUCCUAUUUGAGAAUCAGUAACAAAGUAUUAAGUAGAAAGGAUGUAAAAUACCUGAUGCUUCUAAAUGGAGUGGAGAGUUCAUUUUUUCCAGCCUAAUAUCUUAGCAGUCUAGUGAUCAGAGUAUUUCAUCUCCCCAUUUCCCAGCCAUCCUGCUUUGAGUAAUCCUUGGGGGCUCCAGCAAUCAGAAUAAGUUCAACUAAAAAAUCAGUCAUUGUUAAUAGAUUGUGCAACUCAUGAUUUGCCAGUAGACUAAGCUCCCAAGGAUAGGAGCCAUAUCUUCUGUUUCUACUGUAUAUUCCCAAGUUUCUAGUGUAAGUGCUCUGUACAGAGAAGCUCAAUAAUAAGUGAUGGUGAUGAUGAAGCAACCCAUAAUUCUUCAAAGACAUAUAACAUGGUCCAAUAGAUAAUAAUAAUGUUAGUAUUUGUUAAGCGCUUACUGUGUGCAGAGCACUGUUCUAAGCGCUGGGAUAGAUACAGGGUAAUCAGGUUGUCCCACGUGAGGCUCACAGUUAAUCCCCAUUUUACAGAUGAGGUAACUGAGGCUCAGAGAAGUUAAGUGACUUGCCCACAGUCACACAGCUGACAAGUGACAGAUCCAGGAUUUGAACCCAUGACCUCUGACUCCCAAGCCCAGGCUCUUUCCUCUGAGCCAUGAGAUACUACUUGCCUGGAGCUACAUGUGUACCCAACCAGGUUGCCCUGGAUCAUAUGUGGGUUUUUUUUCCCUUUGGUCUAACUUUGAUGGAAAAUCCCUAUGAGGACAAAACAAUCUAUUUCUUUAUCCUUGGAUAAAAUAGUGGUAAUAGUAUUUAUUAGUUGAUAGUAUUUAUUGAAUGCUUACUAUGUGCUCAGCAUUGCACUAAGCACUGAGAUAAAAUGCCCAGUUGGGAAUUAAUAAGAUUCUUGUCCCUUGUGGGGCUCACAAAUAGAUGGAUUCUUCUUGGUGAAUUAAAAAUCUUAAUAAAUGUGGAAGUCUGGAAGGUAAUCAUAGAAUAGUUUUGGUACUUGUUAAGUGCUUACUGUGUGUCAAGCACUGUUCUAAGUGCUGGGGUAGAUAAAAAGCUAAUCAGAUUGGACACAAUCCCUAUCCCAAAUGGGGGUCACAAUUCAAGUAGGAGAGAGAAUGGGUAUUGAAUCCCCAUUUUAUAGAUGAGGAAACUGAGGCCCAGAGAAGUUAAGUAGCUUGCCUAGGGUCACACAGCAGACUAGUGAUGAGUCGGAAUUUGAACUCAGAUCCUCUGACUCCCAGGCUUGUGCUCUUUCCAAUAGUCCAGGCUGUCAAUUGGAAAGUAGGCAGUUUGCCCCCUUGAGAAACUUUUUACGUGUAUAUAUACUAAAAUCCUAAGUGUUUCCAUACUGCUAAUAAGUAUACCUUCUAGUAGAAGUGUCAAGAAUGGGAAAUCCUUGAUUAAACAAAUAUCUAAGUUACAAAGGACAGUUCUUCCAAUAUUUUUGAAUUUCCACCCUGUUUCAGGAUUACAAUAUUGGAUCUAGCUUACUGAGGCCAGGCUUGAAAGAUUACUAUUACUGCUUACCAGGGCCACAAAACCAGGAGACAAGGGUGGAACCAGGGUCUAUGGGGAAGGGGCUGCAGACAGUGACAGUGACACUUCUCUUUCUCCUCAUUUCCUUCUUUCUUUGCUGCUGGUGGCAGUGAGAGUCGCCCCCCCAUCUC